RNAcentral lists this ribosomal RNA (320 nucleotides) under Pieris canidia (Indian cabbage white). RNAcentral's name for it is "16S ribosomal RNA". The record is from RNAcentral. Lineage: Eukaryota; Metazoa; Arthropoda; Insecta; Lepidoptera; Pieridae.
AGGGGGUAAAUUUAAUAAUUGAUAAAUAUGAAAAAAAUUUUUAAUAUAAUAUAUUUAAUGGGGGUUAAAGUAUUUUUAUAGAAAAAAUUUAAAAAUUUAUAGUGAAAUAGUAUUGUAAAAGAAAAUUGAAAAUAUUGAAAUAAAAAUUUAUUUAAAAGUAAAUUUUAUUUAUUGUAUCUUGUGUAUCAGAGUUUUUUAAUUAAAAGAAAUUAGUUAAAUUUAUUUCGAAAUUUAAAGAGUUAAUUAAUUAAAAAAGUUAAUGUUGCAUAAUUAUUUUUAAUAAUUAAUUAGAAAUGAAAAGUUAAUCGUUUUGAAUGAUA